GACGAACGCUGGCGGCGUGCUUAACACAUGCAAGUCGAACGGAAAGGCCCUGCCUUUGUGGGGUGCUCGAGUGGCGAACGGGUGAGUAACACGUGAGUAACCUACCAUUGACUUUGGGAUAACUUCAGGAAACUGGGGCUAAUACCGGCUAGGAGCUCCUGCUGCAUGGUGGGGGUUGGAAAGUUUCGGCGGUUGGGGAUGGACUCGCCGCUUAUCAGCUUGGUGGUGGGGUAGUGGCUUAGCAAGGCUUUGACGGGUAGCCGGGCUGGGAGGGUGACCGGCCCAACUGAGAUUGAACUGCGACACAGACUACUAUGGGAGGGGGAGGUGCAGAAUAGUGUACUAUGGGCUGAAGCCAGAUGUAGUCAAGCCGCGUGGGGGGUGACGGGCAGCGGGUUGUGAUGCGAAGUCGCCUUUGCCGAAGCGUGAGUGACGGUAAUGGGAAAAUAAGCACCGGCUAACUACGUG
This 468-nucleotide ribosomal RNA is filed under the name uncultured bacterium. RNAcentral describes it as "partial 16S ribosomal RNA". It matches the Rfam family "Bacterial small subunit ribosomal RNA", at positions 28 to 507 of the family's 1533-position model. The record is from RNAcentral.